Molecule: ribosomal RNA, 198 nt
Filed under: uncultured prokaryote
Description: partial 16S ribosomal RNA
Rfam family: Bacterial small subunit ribosomal RNA
Source: RNAcentral
ACGAAGGGUGCAAGCGUCACUCGGAAUUACUGGGCGUAAGGCGUGCGUAGGUGGUUUGUUAAGUCUGAUGUGAAAGCCCUGGGCUCAACCUGGGAAUGGCACUGGAUACUGGCGAGCUAGAGUGUGGCAGAGGGUGGUGGAAUUCCUCGUGUAGCAGUGAAAUGCGUAGAGAUGUGGAGGAACACCGGUGGCGAAGGC